GGCCGCAUGGCCCAAUGGCAAGGCGCUUGACUACGAUUUAACAAUUGAAAUCAAGAGAUUGCAGGUUCGAUCCCUGCUGUGGUCA
This is a non-coding RNA of Pyronema omphalodes CBS 100304, 85 nucleotides long. NCBI's taxonomy places the organism in Eukaryota, Fungi, Ascomycota, Pezizomycetes, Pezizales, Pyronemataceae. The record is from Rfam.